GGAAUCUUCGGCAAUGGGGGCAACCCUGACCGAGCAACGCCGCGUGAGUGAAGAAGAUUUUCGGAUCGUAAAGCUCUGUUGUAAGAGAAGAACGUGUGUGAGAGUGGAAAGUUCACACAGUGACGGUAACUUACCAGAAAGGGACGGCUAACUACAUGCCAG
This 162-nucleotide ribosomal RNA is filed under the name uncultured bacterium. RNAcentral's name for it is "partial 16S rRNA". It matches the Rfam family "Bacterial small subunit ribosomal RNA", at positions 358 to 511 of the family's 1533-position model. The record is from RNAcentral.